GGGAAGGGAUGGUUUGUUCCAGGAAUCGUAGCCGGCUUGCAGUGAACCAGGAGGUUUUGCUAUGGGGUGGGAUUGAAGCUGCCUGUGGUGGACUCUUCUUGACUUAUUCAGAAGUCCACCAUAGCCACUGGGCCAUCCCAGAGGUAGAGACUUCUCUAUUGAUCAUUCCCACCAGGGAUGCCCUCUGUCCUGCCUCAUGUGUGUGCUGACCAGCCUAUGUGAAAGAGUCUCAUGUCGGACCUAGGAAUAAAACACCCGGUUCUGUGUCUGCAGUCAAAUCCCUUUGCUGUUUAAGGGCCAUUGACACCGUCUCUUCUGAGAGCAUCCUUCUGUGAUGACUUUUCUGGAUCUUGGACAUGCUCAGAGCCCAGCUGAAGAAGAGCUGUCUGUUUAAUAGGAGUCUGGGGAAAGGUUCCUGUUUAUCAAAACACACCCACACAACAAAACUGCCGAGGAGUUCGCAUUGCCAGAAUCAGCCUGAGGCCAGGGUGAGGUGAAGAGAUAGGAUCUUAUUUAUUAAAGGAAACAAGAUUUUCUCUUGCUGCUCUGCUACAGGAGCAGAUGCUCUGAAGAUUGACGGAAUC
Molecule: long non-coding RNA, 584 nt
Filed under: Rattus norvegicus (Norway rat)
Lineage: Eukaryota; Metazoa; Chordata; Mammalia; Rodentia; Muridae
Description: long non-coding RNA NONRATT013997
Source: RNAcentral